CGGCGGACGGGUUAGUAACGCGUGGGAACAUACCCUUCUCUAUGGAAUAGCCUCGGGAAACUGAGAGUAAUACCAUAUACGCCCUUCGGGGGAAAGAUUUAUCGCCAAAGGAUUGGCCCGCGUUGGAUUAGGUAGUUGGUGGGGUAAUGGCCUACCAAGUCUACGAUCUAUAGCUGGUUUGAGAGGAUGAUCAGCAACACUGGGACUGAGACACGGCCCAGACUCC
Molecule: ribosomal RNA, 226 nt
Filed under: uncultured bacterium
Lineage: Bacteria
Description: partial 16S ribosomal RNA
Rfam family: Bacterial small subunit ribosomal RNA
Source: RNAcentral